UACGAAGGGGGCUAGCGUUGCUCGGAAUCACUGGGCGUAAAGGGUGCGUAGGCGGGUCUUUAAGUCAGGGGUGAAAUCCUGGAGCUCAACUCCAGAACUGCCUUUGAUACUGAGGAUCUUGAGUUCGGGAGAGGUGAGUGGAACUGCGAGUGUAGAGGUUAAAUUCGUAGAUAUUCGCAAGAACACCAGUGGCGAAGGCGGCUCACUGGCCCGAUACUGACGCUGAGGCACGAAAGCGUGGGGAGCAAACAGG
Molecule: ribosomal RNA, 253 nt
Filed under: uncultured bacterium
Lineage: Bacteria
Description: partial 16S ribosomal RNA
Rfam family: Bacterial small subunit ribosomal RNA
Source: RNAcentral